RNAcentral lists this ribosomal RNA (1439 nucleotides) under uncultured organism. RNAcentral describes it as "16S ribosomal RNA". It matches the Rfam family "Bacterial small subunit ribosomal RNA". The record is from RNAcentral.
UGGCGGCGUGCUUAACACAUGCAAGUCGAACGGAAAGGCCCUGCUUUUGUGGGGUGCUCGAGUGGCGAACGGGUGAGUAACACGUGAGUAACCUGCCCUUGACUUUGGGAUAACUUCAGGAAACUGGGGCUAAUACCGGAUAGGAGCUCCUGCUGCAUGGUGGGGGUUGGAAAGUUUCGGCGGUUGGGGAUGGACUCGCGGCUUAUCAGCUUGUUGGUGGGGUAGUGGCUUACCAAGGCUUUGACGGGUAGCCGGCCUGAGAGGGUGACCGGCCACAUUGGGACUGAGAUACGGCCCAGACUCCUACGGGAGGCAGCAGUGGGGAAUAUUGCACAAUGGGCGGAAGCCUGAUGCAGCAACGCCGCGUGCGGGAUGACGGCCUUCGGGUUGUAAACCGCUUUCGCCUGUGACGAAGCGUGAGUGACGGUAAUGGGUAAAGAAGCACCGGCUAACUACGUGCCAGCAGCCGCGGUGAUACGUAGGGUGCGAGCGUUGUCCGGAUUUAUUGGGCGUAAAGGGCUCGUAGGUGGUUGAUCGCGUCGGAAGUGUAAUCUUGGGGCUUAACCCUGAGCGUGCUUUCGAUACGGGUUGACUUGAGGAAGGUAGGGGAGAAUGGAAUUCCUGGUGGAGCGGUGGAAUGCGCAGAUAUCAGGAGGAACACCAGUGGCGAAGGCGGUUCUCUGGGCCUUUCCUGACGCUGAGGAGCGAAAGCGUGGGGAGCGAACAGGCUUAGAUACCCUGGUAGUCCACGCUGUAAACGGUGGGUACUAGGUGUGGGGUCCAUUCCACGGGUUCCGUGCCGUAGCUAACGCUUUAAGUACCCCGCCUGGGGAGUACGGCCGCAAGGCUAAAACUCAAAGGAAUUGACGGGGCCCCGCACAAGCGGCGGAGCAUGCGGAUUAAUUCGAUGCAACGCGUAGAACCUUACCUGGGUUUGACAUGGAUCGGGAGUGCUCAGAGAUGGGUGUGCCUCUUUUGGGGUCGGUUCACAGGUGGUGCAUGCCUGUCGUCAGCUCGUGUCGCGAGAUGUUGGGUUAAGUCCCGCAACGAGCGCAACCCUUGUUCACUGUUGCCAGCACGUUAUGGUGGGGACUCAGUGGAGACCGCCGGGGUCAACUCGGAGGAAGGUGGGGAUGACGUCAAGUCCUCAUGCCCCUUAUGUCCAGGGCUUCACGCAUGCUACAAUGGCUGGUACAGAGAGUGGCGAGCCUGUGAGGGUGAGCGAAUCUCGGAAAGCCGGUCUCAGUUCGGAUUGGGGUCUGCAACUCGACCUCAUGAAGUCGGAGUCGCUAGUAAUCGCAGAUCAGCAACGCUGCGGUGAAUACGUUCCCGGGGCUUGUACACACCGCCCGUCAAGUCAUGAAAGUUGGUAACACCCGAAGCCGGUGGCCUAACCGUUGUGGGGGAGCCGUCGAAGGUGGGACUGGUGAUUAGGACUA